CCUACGGGUGGCAGCAGUGAGGAAUAUUGGUCAAUGGCCGAGAGGCUGAACCAGCCAAGUCGCGUGAGGGAAGACGGCCCUACGGGUUGUAAACCUCUUUUGUCGGGGAGCAAAGCGAACCACGUGUGGUUCAUUGAGAGUACCCGAAGAAAAAGCAUCGGCUAACUCCGUGCCAGCAGCCGCGGUAAUACGGAGGAUGCGAGCGUUAUCCGGAUUUAUUGGGUUUAAAGGGUGCGUAGGCGGGAUGCCAAGUCAGCGGUAAAAAUGCGGUGCUCAACGCCGUCGAGCCGUUGAAACUGGCGUUCUUGAGUGGGCGAGAAGUAUGCGGAAUGCGUGGUGUAGCGGUGAAAUGCAUAGAUAUCACGCAGAACUCCGAUUGCGAAGGCAGCAUACCGGCGCCCUACUGACGCUGAGGCACGAAAGCGUGGGUAUCGAACAGGAUUAGAUACCCGGGUAGUC
RNAcentral lists this ribosomal RNA (459 nucleotides) under uncultured bacterium. Its description in RNAcentral is "partial 16S ribosomal RNA". It matches the Rfam family "Bacterial small subunit ribosomal RNA", at positions 338 to 795 of the family's 1533-position model. The record is from RNAcentral.